AAAUUUCAAAUUCGAAGGAUAAAUUUUGAAUCAGUUGAUUACAAAAGCCGCUUCAACAAAUAUCAGGUCCUACAAUUUCCAAAUGGCUAUGCACUCCUCCCCAAAGUAUAUUUCAUUUACAUAACUAAAGCGUUAGCUGAACUAUUUCAUAUUAAACCAAUAUUAGUUUUUUAUUAUCUUAAGCACCUCUAAUAAGAUAAGAAUAUACAAGCCUAGUUUAAUUACACUAUAACAAUAAAAAACAGCUUAGACAUUUCUUAAGUUUGCAACAUACCAGCGAUUACUUUUAAGAAUUUAAUAAUUCUUAUCAAUGGUUGAAAGCUUAACAAUAAAACUAUAAUACUCAUGGAAAUCACAAAGAAAAUAUAAUAUGCAGCAAUAAAGAUAGCGCCAACGGAUAUUGAUAAGUAUUCGCUAGCAGGUAGUUGUUUAUGACUUUACAAAAACACAUACCCAAAGAAAGGAUCUGUAUAGCAAUGCUCAAAUAGAGUGAACAGCUCACCAACUGUAUGGCCUGAUUGUCGAUAGAUUGCUUUUGUGAAAUAAUUUCGUAAGCGAUUUAUAUUUAUAUACAUUUUAUAAUGGUAAGCAACUAUGUAUGGAUAAUCACUCACAUGCAUAUGCAUUUAUUACAUGUACUACAUAUCUACAUAUGUACAUACAUACAUAUGUACUGGCAAGUACAAUAUCAGUUUCCUUCUACCGAAUGCCUUAACAGCAAAUAAUCAGUCAGGCAGACAUCAGAAAAGCAAGUAAUAGGCACUUUCGAGUCCAACGAGUCAUUGAUAGUGCUCAUAUUAAGUUGGCAAAAUGGAAACAAUACAGUCACGUAGUAACACCCUCCAGCCGAGCUAUCACCGGACAUGCACUUUGCCCAGUUAUAUUUAUGAGCUCAUGCAAGAGAUAAGCUGCCCAAAUGAAGGCACUGCAUUUACACAUACAUACAUAUGUACGUGUGCAUGCAAAAGAAGCGCUACAAAAGUAACCUCUAACAAGCAAACAAACAAACAAGUUAUUGAAAUAGUGACUUCUAAAUGCAUAUACGCUCCUUUACAUACAUAUGCAUAUGUAUACGCUGGCCGACAACCGCAAAGGAAUCUUGCCGCACACAAAGCGCCUUGUGCGGGUGUAAUGGCCUCUACGUAUUUAAAUGUACACGGCAGCAAGGCGUAACCAAAAUUGUGCUAUCCGCUAGUUACCUUAACAAGUGAAAAGCAACACCUGGCCCUGCCUUUUUACCCCCCAACUCAAACAUUUGGCUGACAAUCCAUGCGAGACGAUGAUUUCGACCAACUGACCAACUAACAUUACAUUUUGGCUAGGAAAAUACAACACCACCUUACCUCGAAUGCUAGUUGGAAGCUAAAUUAAGGCAAAGGUCGCAUUACAUACACCAAACUGGCAGAUACCAGCGUCCACUAGCUGUACAAUAUGGUUUCAAAGCGAAAACUAACUGGUGGCUAACUUUGGUUACGAGUAUUGUACAUACAUAUGGAUUUGCAAUACAUUCCAGUUUGAUGAAUACUUACACUCGAAAUUCUUGCAAUACCUAUAUCGGUAUAAGCGAUUUAUUGCACCAUAGACGCUAACAAUUUCAAUAACUUAUAGAUCGGUCGGUUUGGUUUUUAUGAACUUAGGUAUGUAUUUCUUUUUUUUAACAAGUUGCACUAUAGAUUUUAAGUUUUGCUGUGCUCAUAAACUAGACUUUUUUUCUUUCAAUAAUCAAACGCAGCGUAACACUUUUAACACAAACACAUGCCCUUCCUUUUCGUUGAAAUGAUUUCAUGUAAUUUUUAACUUUAUUUUUUCACUAUUUUCCUUCAGAAAAGUACAAAAUUUUCACAACAAUUUUUCAGUUUUUCGACCCGUGCACAACGCAGAAAUUCUUUCGUUUCAACUUCUCGACUUCGUUUGACAUUCGCAGUUUUUUUGCUUCUCUUGUUAUGACAUAUUCGUUAAAUUGAACGAAAAUGGGAAUGGUUCGUUCAAAGCAGC
Long non-coding RNA from Rhagoletis zephyria (snowberry fruit fly), 1995 nucleotides. RefSeq lists it as uncharacterized. NCBI's taxonomy places the organism in Eukaryota, Metazoa, Arthropoda, Insecta, Diptera, Tephritidae. The record is from RefSeq and is a predicted model, not a curated record.